Molecule: unclassified non-coding RNA, 367 nt
Filed under: Athalia rosae (coleseed sawfly)
Lineage: Eukaryota; Metazoa; Arthropoda; Insecta; Hymenoptera; Athaliidae
Description: misc RNA ENSAEAG00005004022.1
Source: RNAcentral
AAUGAUUGUACCUUAAAUCAUUUCCAAUUGUUUAACUGAGCGUUAUGUAUUUUCACAAAAAUUGAUAUGUGAUUUUAUUUUUGUGUCAAUUACUUCUUCAUUUGUUAAAGUAGGAAAUAUUCUUCAAUCUAUCGAUAGGCUGUGAAUGAAGACCUUUAUCUGCGGUGUGCAGAAUUUCCAAGAUGAUCGGUGUUCGUGGAUUGAUUAUUCUCAUCGCUCUUGCAUUAGGGAUCUUCAAUUAUUUCGGCGCCGCAAUCGAGAUUCCCGAGAAGAAAUCUGAAAACGAAUCGCAACUGCGCAUGAGAUCCAAGAGAGCAUUGGCUCUUUUGGUGCCGUUUCAAGAUGUGGAAUCUAGUGGAGAGGAACA